RNAcentral lists this long non-coding RNA (228 nucleotides) under Ananas comosus (pineapple). RNAcentral describes it as "long non-coding RNA (ACOM_LNC042166)". The record is from RNAcentral. Lineage: Eukaryota; Viridiplantae; Streptophyta; Magnoliopsida; Poales; Bromeliaceae.
AUCACUUUAUGUUGCAAACUCAUGCAAUCAUAUUCUUUACAUUUCUCUACUCUUGCUAACUCUAGCAUUCUUGUUCGUUACAAUUCUUGUUCUUAUUGCCCCACUUUACUUUAAUCUUACACAUUGUCAUUUUCAUCAUUCUUUACAUCACGUUAGUUCUUUGCAUCACACUAACUCUAGUGUCUCUUUACUUUACAUUUUCAAAUGCCACUCGAUCUAUGUCAUAGU